This 491-nucleotide ribosomal RNA is filed under the name uncultured cyanobacterium. RNAcentral's name for it is "bacterial SSU rRNA". It matches the Rfam family "Bacterial small subunit ribosomal RNA", at positions 357 to 862 of the family's 1533-position model. The record is from RNAcentral. Lineage: Bacteria; Bacillati; Cyanobacteriota.
GGGAAUUUUCCGCAAUGGGCGAAAGCCUGACGGAGCAAUACCGCGUGAGGGAGGACGGCUUUUGGGUUGUAAACCUCUUUUCUCUGGGAAGAAGAUCUGACGGUACCAGAGGAAUCAGCAUCGGCUAACUCCGUGCCAGCAGCCGCGGUAAUACGGAGGAUGCAAGCGUUAUCCGGAAUUAUUGGGCGUAAAGGGUCCGCAGGUGGUUAAUCAAGUCUGUUGUCAAAGCGUGGAGCUUAACUCCAUAAGGGCAAUGGAAACUGAGUAACUAGAGUACAGUAGGGGUUGCGGGAAUUCCCAGUGUAGCGGUGAAAUGCGUAGAUAUUGGGAAGAACACCAGCGGCGAAGGCGCGCGACUGGACUGAGACUGACACUGAGGGACGAAAGCUAGGGGAGCGAAAGGGAUUAGAUACCCCUGUAGUCCUAGCUGUAAACGAUGGACACUAGGUGUUGCGCGUAUCGACCCGUGCAGUGCCGUAGCUAACGCGUUA